ACUCCGUUAUUGAGUUUUGUUGUAUCAGAGUACCACUCACUGGUUUCAUCCCAAAGUUCUUUAUACUCGUCAAGAAAAUGAGUGGUAUACUUGUCUUUAAGAGGGUCGAAGAAAGAUGUAUCAGGUUCAUUUGUUGCUAUGUAGAGAUUCCUUCCUUCCUCAAUCUUGUCACCCAAGGUUGAAAGAAGUGCAUCAGGAGAAGUAUGUGCAUCAAGAUUAGGCCACAGCUCCUUGUUCCUUGCCUUUUCCCCUCUCACAACAUGAACAGAAUCGUAGUCCCAAUUCAUCUUUGAAGCUAUUGCAGACACUAUAUCCAUCAAC
Molecule: long non-coding RNA, 321 nt
Filed under: Vigna radiata
Lineage: Eukaryota; Viridiplantae; Streptophyta; Magnoliopsida; Fabales; Fabaceae
Description: long non-coding RNA (VRAD_LNC004636)
Source: RNAcentral